RNAcentral lists this ribosomal RNA (237 nucleotides) under uncultured bacterium. RNAcentral's name for it is "partial 16S ribosomal RNA". It matches the Rfam family "Bacterial small subunit ribosomal RNA", at positions 923 to 1163 of the family's 1533-position model. The record is from RNAcentral.
GCACAAGCAGUGGAGUCUGUGGUUUAAUUCGAAGCAACGCGAAGAACCUUACCAGGUCUUGGCAUCCAACUAACGAAGUAGAGAUACAUUAGGUGCCCUUCGGGGAAAGUUGAGACAGGUGGUGCAUGGUUGUCGUCAGCUCGUGUCGUGAGAUGUUGGGUUAAGUCCCGCAACGAGCGCAACCCUUGCUAUUAGUUGCUACGCAAGAGCACUCUAAUAGGACUGCCGUUGACAAAA